RNAcentral lists this ribosomal RNA (328 nucleotides) under uncultured bacterium. Its description in RNAcentral is "bacterial SSU rRNA". It matches the Rfam family "Bacterial small subunit ribosomal RNA", at positions 29 to 363 of the family's 1533-position model. The record is from RNAcentral.
AAUGAACGUUGGCGGCGUGGAUUAGGCAUGCAAGUCGAGCGAGAAGGAUCCUUUGCUUGCAUUGGAUCUGGAAAGCGGCGAAAGGGAGAGUAACGCGUAGGGUAUCUGCCCCCAGGCCUGGGAUAGCGGCGGGAAACUGCCGGUAAUACCGGAUAAUGUCCCUGGACCAAAGGUGUGAUUCCGCCUGGGGAUGGCCCUGCGUCCUAUUAGCUUGUUGGUGAGGUAACGGCUUACCAAGGCAAAGAUGGGUAGCGGGCGUGAGAGCGUGGCCCGUCUCACUGGGACUGAGACACUGCCCAGACACCUACGGGUGCUGCAGUCGAGAAUC